UACAGUUAACAUCUCCGGGGUCCGGACGGACCCCGGCAGAAGUGUUCAGUAAUUCCGGACCGUAUUUAUGUAUCGCGAAAUUCAUAACCAAUUGGAAGUAUUAUUUCAACAAUUAACAGUUGAGUGGAGUUUCAACAAGUUGUGAAGGUGUACAAGCAGUUCACGAAUUCAAAAUGAUUUUAGAAGCGUUGAAAAAGUUUUCGAGCAAUUUCCUUUGUGGUUCCCGAUGUAGCCGGUUAACGGAUUCAAACAUACAUCUGAAAGGAUCACCGCCUUUACGAUUAUCGACCAAACCUGGAUGCAUUCAGAUAUCAAAAGCGCUGGAAAACUUUCCAAUCAACUAAAGGAGUUUCCCAUUUGGUUCCCGAUGUUGCUGGUUCUCAAAGGAUUACCGCACACGAGUAAAACCCUUACCAUCGAAACAAGAAACAAAUAUUCAAGCACUGCCCCUUUUGACCAACUCUUGAAGGAUGCAUUCAGGUGAAGUAAAGUGUAUUUUUUUUAAAUAUCUUCUUAGUUUUUAGACAUGUAGGAUAGGUUAGCAGGUUACUGUAGAUAGGUUCCUUAGGUUAGCGUGUUUGACAAUAGAUAUAACGUUCUUAGUUUAAACUGGGUUAGUUCAUACCUACAAAUUUCUGUAAAAGUUGUAUUAUAACUUACGCGGAAUAGUUCGGAGGAGCGUCUCGGUUCAAAAGAUAAAUUUGACAUGCCUUAAUGUUCGGUGCACAUUGUUGUGUUUGCAAGUUACUUUUCCUGUUAUCGUUCUUCUUGUUAGUUCUUGACUUCUUAUUGCAUUGAUGUUACCAUUGUUAUUUUACGUUGCAUUUUAGUGUUUUUAUCAAUGAGACAUAAUUCUUAUACAUUGUUUUUGAUACGUUAUAAAACUCAUUAAGUUUGGUACAUUUCUGUUAAUAAUCAACAGCGUUUAAUUGUUGUUUAGGAAAUGAUCAUUAAUCACUUUAUGAUAAAUUCUUUGACAUCAUUUUUAAAAUGUUUUAAAACUCAUUAAGUUUGAUGUUAUUCAAGCGUCAUCAGCGUUUAAUUUACUGUUUAAAAUUGUUCAAUAAUUACGUAAUGAGUUAAUUCUUUGACAUUGUUUUUGUUAAAUUUGAAAUUUAUUAUUUAAGUUUGACACAAUUCAGUUAGUAUGAUCAGCAUUCAAUUUACUGUUUAGGAAAUCACAACGUUAACGUGUUUUACUUCCACAAUCUCAUUUUCUUAAGUUGUUAAUACUCGUUACUUGUUACUGUUCUCUGUUAUCUGUUAUUUGUUCUGAUUAUUGUUUACCUGUGAAACUAAGUUUUUUAAUCAGUUAAAUGCGUUGAGUUACCGUUAGUAAAACUUGCGACGCUCAUCAAAUGCACUGGGCAAGUUAACCUUGAUAUUUUUACAUUACCAACUCCAAAGUUAUUUUUAAAUUAAGAACCUUAGGUAACUUGUUAAUCGUUAUUGUUCAUGUUUUCUUAAUUUGUUGAUUUUUUGUUUAUUUUUUCAUUUGAUCGUAAGCCAGCUGGUCUGACUACAUUUUGUUUCGUUUUGACUACCACUGUUCUUGUGUUGUUCAUACCCGUUAUUUGUUAUAACUGUUAUUUAUUAUGUAAUGGGUUGAAGUUCUUGUUCAAAAUAGUUGAUUUUUUGUUUUGUUCUUUACAUCACAAAUUCAUGCACCAAAUUGCCUUCACCUUACUGUUACUCAAUCCUACAGUUCAGUUUUCUUAAAUCGUUUAAAAGUUGAAUUUUUGUUUCCUUGUUAACUAAUCACUAAAGUGUUAAGUUUUCGUUAAUACCCAAUUUGUUGAUUUCACCGUUGGUCUAAAGUUGAGUUUUUGUUUUGUUUUUCAAACUAAACUUUCAAACAAUACCUACUCGGAAAAAGCUGUAGAAAUCCUUCUGAAAAACAUAUCCCACUAUUUGAUGUUACAGCCCAAUAUCAUUUAAACCAUUAAUUGCUUUAGGUUCAAAACAGUUCUAGGCAUAUAACACAAUAGUAAUGUUUACAUAAUAUUGUAUUUGUUCGAAACAAUCACGACGUGCCUUAAAUCAAGUGCCUGAUGUUGUUUCACCUUGUUUGUACGAAUGUCUUAAUUUCUUCUGUCAAUGUUUUUCCUUAUACGAAAAACGUUGUCAGGACGAAUUCUUGUUGUUAUGUUGGUAUAAACUAUCUAUUUAGCUUUUGAUAAAGCUAAAUAGGUUAGAACAUGAGCAGCUAUAUAUUUGAUACGUGUUAAUAAUAUACAGUUUGCGGUGAUCUAUCAAAGGGUCUCAUUAAAAUACUAAAUAUUGUAUGAGAGACGCCAGAUGACAUUGUAGAUGCAUGUUUUUAGCAAGUAACAAAUAGUUGCUCUAAGAGUACUUUGUUUGAAAAACCUAGCGAUGUUUUUAUCCCCUACCACUGCUCUAAAAUUUUCAAUAGAUAAAUGAAUUUUGAACGUUUGUGUACCAGAAAAGCUAACCGUUUUUCCGGACGUAUCUCGAUCCGUAUCUAUAAUAUGUAAAUACGGGAGCAUCCACAUACAACCUUUGAUCCUGAAGCCGUCCUAGCCGAAGUGACAAUCGUUAACGCUACGUGGCGAUCGAAUAGAAUCUGGCUCUUUUGCGCUAUAGAAGAGUGAUAGAGAGAGCUAGCUACAAAGCGUAAGCGAUCGUGACGUCGGCUAGGCACCCAGUAACAUACAAAGGCAUUGUUCGCGGGGAUAAAAUAAUCGUUACGUAUUCAAAUUGUUACUAUUGUUUACGUUAAGCCGUUGUUAAUAUCGUUAAAGUUAACUAGUUUUAAGCGUUGAAUUGUUGUUAAGUUUGAUUGUGAUAUUAUUGUUAAAAUUUCAUGUGGCUGUGUAUGUUAAUUUUAUGUUAAGUUUUCGUUUUAACUGUUCAUUUGUUCGCCGCCGGCAUUAAGGCUGAAACUAGAAGCUGAAUAACCAAAACAUUGUUGUUUAACUUUAAUUUAAGUCUCUUAUAAGUGUUUUGUAUGGUAGUUAGGUUAAAACCGAAGCUUAGAAUAAAAUUAACAACUAGUUAAGUGAGUGUCAGAUAAUAUAAGGAUAAUUUAUUGGAGACGAAUGGGAGAACUUGUGUUUGUGAAUUGUGUGAAAUAAAAAGAAAACACUCGA
This is a long non-coding RNA of Leguminivora glycinivorella, 3110 nucleotides long. RefSeq lists it as uncharacterized. NCBI's taxonomy places the organism in Eukaryota, Metazoa, Arthropoda, Insecta, Lepidoptera, Tortricidae. The transcript has 3 exons. The record is from RefSeq and is a predicted model, not a curated record.